RNAcentral lists this long non-coding RNA (700 nucleotides) under Ictidomys tridecemlineatus (thirteen-lined ground squirrel). Its description in RNAcentral is "lncRNA (ENSSTOG00000031252.1)". The record is from RNAcentral. Lineage: Eukaryota; Metazoa; Chordata; Mammalia; Rodentia; Sciuridae.
ACUCACACUCGAGCUUUUGGGGGAUGCCUCACAUGUAACCAUAACAUAUGAACACACACAGUGUAAUGUCUGAGAUGAGCUUCCCAUAAAUAUCUCGCUGACAAGGAAGCCAUGUGAGAGACGUUGACAGAACAGCAAACCCAGAGGAUAGGUGGAAACUGCUGUGACUACAAUCCAGCCCACACACAGAUCCAGGAGCAGAAUGAAAUUUUUCUGGCUUUAUCCAAAUUGGGGCUUGUGCAUAUGUUAUGCAAAAACAGGGACAAGAGCUAAGAAACCAGGCUAAAAAAUUAAAAUGAAAAUUAAAAACAGGAAAAUCUGCAGCUACACAAACGGCGAGACCAUUGCCGCAGCCUGAGUCCAGGACAUGCACAGAUCUGCACACUCAGUGAGAAAGCCCGCGUCGUCCCAGGGCCUGGGGGGUGCCAGAGGAUGUCAGUGGAGGUGAUGGCAAAGCUCUGACAGUGCCUUGUGCUGCACCAGCUCCUUCAAGACACAGGCUACUGCAGCUAAAAGAUAACCUGAGCAACCCUGGAGCUGCCAAGGACACGGGGUUUAAAUAUGGGCCGCAUGGCCCUUCACCAGUAGCUGAGGACCAGCAGCUACGGACCAGCUCGCACAGGCUCUCCCAGAAGGUUACAGGUGGCGGAACCCAUCAGGGGCACUCUCCUCGCCUGGACCACAGGGCCUGACCAGCAGC